RNAcentral lists this ribosomal RNA (253 nucleotides) under uncultured bacterium. Its description in RNAcentral is "partial 16S ribosomal RNA". It matches the Rfam family "Bacterial small subunit ribosomal RNA", at positions 524 to 776 of the family's 1533-position model. The record is from RNAcentral.
UACGUAGGGUGCGAGCGUUGUCCGGAAUUACUGGGCGUAAAGAGCUCGUAGGUGGUUUGUCGCGUUGUUCGUGAAAACUCACAGCUCAACUGUGGGCGUGCGGGCGAUACGGGCAGACUGGAGUACUGCAGGGGAGACUGGAAUUCCUGGUGUAGCGGUGGAAUGCGCAGAUAUCAGGAGGAACACCGGUGGCGAAGGCGGGUCUCUGGGCAGUAACUGACGCUGAGGUGCGAAAGCGUGGGGAGCAAACAGG